RNAcentral lists this long non-coding RNA (923 nucleotides) under Homo sapiens (human). RNAcentral's name for it is "HSALNT0361756". The record is from RNAcentral. Lineage: Eukaryota; Metazoa; Chordata; Mammalia; Primates; Hominidae.
UAUGCAACUGUGUCUGCACUGCAGUCUUGCUUUAAUUAAAAUGUGCCUGAUAUCAUCUACUCAGUUCCAUUAAAAGCCGGUGAUAUCUGAGCAGCUCACUAAGUGAACCACAUGUUUAUUUCAUCUAGGACUGUUAACAGCCCAGACAACAAUUGUCCCACUUGACAAAGAAACUUUCAACGCAGCUGUUUGGAUGCUGAUAAUCACAAGCCAGCCUUUGUUACCUAAGAAGAGGGUGGAUGGAUGAUGUGGAAAUGAUUUCUGCACAGAAUCAGAGGGCUGCCUCCAGAAAGCUACCGCUUAUACCCUCUCAAGCUACAAGAUACUUUAAGUGUACAAAUUGAGAGCUUCUUCCUGUCUGCGGUUCCUCUGUAAGAUGUCCACGAGCACCAGACUCUCGCGCUCAGAGCCAGUAGCCCACGCUCUGCACUAGUCUUGCCUGUCCUGAUCUUCCUGGGGUGCGCGCACUCCUUCAGCGUGUCCUGGUUUUAAAAGACUAACCCAUCCGGAUGGGCCUGAACUCAAGAAGCAACUAUUCUAAGCUAGACUGAGCCUUGGCGUCUCCGCAGCCUGGGAAGCUCGGAUAGAGCUCUUUGAAGAAGGCGGCUGCAAGCCAGUCUCCGAACCCCAGGGGACUUUUGGGCAAGGGAGCCGGUGGAAGCAGAAGGAAGAAGAUGCGCUGAGAGUCCUCACAACUGCGUCUCCGGAGGCAGAACGAAGUGGGGACUUCAGACAAUCAAGCGUCAUCCUUGCUCCCCCCUCCCCACACGGAACCCUGCGAUUAUGGCAAGAGAAAACUGGUUUGAGCUUGAGAAAAUUUCCCCAGAUUGUCUCCACUGCUCUAUUUCCCUCAGAUAAUUGUUCGCCCAGCCCUUGGGAGCAAAGACAGGCGGAGGAGAAUACUCCUGGAGUUCUCCUGGGUA